This is a long non-coding RNA of Rosa chinensis, 971 nucleotides long. RefSeq lists it as uncharacterized. The transcript is spliced from 5 exons. NCBI's taxonomy places the organism in Eukaryota, Viridiplantae, Streptophyta, Magnoliopsida, Rosales, Rosaceae. The record is from RefSeq and is a predicted model, not a curated record.
UCUCUCAUUAACCUCCUCCACCACCUUGCCGGCGCUAUCACCUAUACCCGCAAGCUCUCUCUCCCCUCCUUCCUCUCCAUCCCUCUUUCCAAGGCCAGCAUCGCCUUCCUCUCCGCUCACUCCCGCUACUAUCUCUCUCUCAUUAACCACCUCCACCACCUCGCCGUCGCUAUCACCUGUACCCUCAAGCUCUCUCUCUCUCUCUAGCUCUCGAGCUCUCUAAGAUCUCAGAAGAUUUCAAUCUGGCAACACAUCCUCUACAACAGGUUUUAAUCUGAAUUAAUCGCGUUAAUGGUGAGUCACUACAAUUGAAUUCUUUGUUUUCUGUUUGGGUCCUGAGAAUUUUGGGGGUUUUCAAUUUUGGGGUUUUCAAUUUUAGGGUUUUAAUUAUAGAUGGGUGGAGAUUUGGGGAUACCUGCAUUCCCUGAAGAAGACUGCAUUCUUCAAGAGUGAGAUUCGGAGGAGGUUGUUUGUGAUGGCAGUACUGAUCAAUUGUGAUUAGUCGUGUUGGUUAUUUCAUUCCUCUGCCUGGGUUUGAUAGAAGGUUAAUACCUCAGGAUCAGUUGAUGAGCUCGGUGAUUUUACAGCUGAGCUUAAAAUGUCCUUGUUCCAGCUUGGAAUCAGUCCUCAAAUUAUAGCAUCGAUUAUAAUCACUCCUCCCUCUCUCUCUCUCGUCUGUGCUUUUCUCUCUUGUCUAAUGAACUAGACGAAUGCAAUAGCUAAACAAGGUUCUUUUGCUAAAGGCUAGGAACCAGUAUACUUGGAAAGGGUUUGGGGCAAUCCCUAAUGCUUUACAGGAGCUAAAGGAAGAGGGUCUGAAAGAGAACUUCAAUACUUUCCAAGGCAAUUUCCAGGGCAAUAAUGAUCCAAAAUGUUCGCAGGGUUCAGAUGAUGAGAAAGGUGAUGAGAGUGGUCAUGCAACCGGGAGUCAGAAUGAGAACCCCAGUGUCAAUCCCAAAUCUUCAGGAGAC